Molecule: ribosomal RNA, 519 nt
Filed under: Escherichia coli
Lineage: Bacteria; Pseudomonadati; Pseudomonadota; Gammaproteobacteria; Enterobacterales; Enterobacteriaceae
Also listed under: 1 other name
Description: partial 23S ribosomal RNA
Rfam family: Bacterial large subunit ribosomal RNA
Source: RNAcentral
AAGCAGGUCAUAGUGAUCCGGUGGUUCUGAAUGGAAGGGCCAUCGCUCAACGGAUAAAAGGUACUCCGGGGAUAACAGGCUGAUACCGCCCAAGAGUUCAUAUCGACGGCGGUGUUUGGCACCUCGAUGUCGGCUCAUCACAUCCUGGGGCUGAAGUAGGUCCCAAGGGUAUGGCUGUUCGCCAUUUAAAGUGGUACGCGAGCUGGGUUUAGAACGUCGUGAGACAGUUCGGUCCCUAUCUGCCGUGGGCGCUGGAGAACUGAGGGGGGCUGCUCCUAGUACGAGAGGACCGGAGUGGACGCAUCACUGGUGUUCGGGUUGUCAUGCCAAUGGCACUGCCCGGUAGCUAAAUGCGGAAGAGAUAAGUGCUGAAAGCAUCUAAGCACGAAACUUGCCCCGAGAUGAGUUCUCCCUGACCCUUUAAGGGUCCUGAAGGAACGUUGAAGACGACGACGUUGAUAGGCCGGGUGUGUAAGCGCAGCGAUGCGUUGAGCUAACCGGUACUAAUGAACCGUGAGG